UACGUAGGCAGCGAGCGUUGUUCGGAGUUACUGGGCGUAAAGGGUGUGUAGGCGGUUCUCUAAGUUUGGUGUGAAAUCUCCCGGCUCAACCGGGAGGGUGCGCCGAAAACUGGAGGGCUAGAGUGCGGGAAGGGAGAGUAGAAUUCCUGGUGUAGCGGUGAAAUGCGUAGAUAUCAGGAGGAACACCGGUGGUGUAGACGGCUCUCUGGACCGUAACUGACGCUGAGACACGAAAGCGUGGGUAGCAAACAGG
RNAcentral lists this ribosomal RNA (253 nucleotides) under uncultured bacterium. RNAcentral's name for it is "partial 16S ribosomal RNA". It matches the Rfam family "Bacterial small subunit ribosomal RNA", at positions 524 to 776 of the family's 1533-position model. The record is from RNAcentral.